AGUGAGCGCUGGCGGUAGGCCUAACACAUGCAAGUCGAACGGCAGCACAGUAAGAGCUUGCUCUUACGGGUGGCGAGUGGCGGACGGGUGAGGAAUACAUCGGAAUCUACUUUUUCGUGGGGGAUAACGUAGGGAAACUUACGCUAAUACCGCAUACGACCUACGGGUGAAAGCAGGGGAUCUUCGGACCUUGCGCGAUUGAAUGAGCCGAUGUCGGAUUAGCUAGUUGGCGGGGUAAAGGCCCACCCAGGCGACGAUCCGUAGCUGGUCUGAGAGGAUGAUCAGCCACACUGGAACUGAGACACGGUCCAGACUCCUACGGGAGGCAGCAGUGGGGAAUAUUGGACAAUGGGCGCAAGCCUGAUCCAGCCAUACCGCGUGGGUGAAGAAGGCCUUCGGGUUGUAAAGCCCUUUUGUUGGGAAAGAAAAGCAGCAGGUUAAUACCCCGCUGUUCUGACGGUACCCAAAGAAUAAGCACCGGCUAACUUC
RNAcentral lists this ribosomal RNA (489 nucleotides) under uncultured bacterium. Its description in RNAcentral is "partial 16S ribosomal RNA". It matches the Rfam family "Bacterial small subunit ribosomal RNA", at positions 29 to 504 of the family's 1533-position model. The record is from RNAcentral.